GGAAGUAGUUGUGUGUGUGUGUGUGUGUUCACCUGUGUCUUUCUUCUUUCAUCGAUGAAUCACUUGUGGAGGAAACUUGUUAAUGUCGAGACAUCAUUCACGCUCUGCGUUCAAGACCUCGAAACCGAGAUUCAAACGACCGACCGACAAGUUACGAGUGAGCCGAGGGGAGGAAGACGAGCGUGAGAGGAGAAGAAUGGACGUCCUGACCGAUCCUGAAGGGACUUUUAAAGGAAACGGCUUCGACAUUGUGAGAAACAAGAUGAACAAAACCUUCUCGCUUGUGUUGAUCAGUGAAAGUUCAUCCGUCCAUCUUCCCUGGAGACGAUCCAAGAGAACAAGCUGAGGAGCGGUGACAAGAGGAGCUGCGUCAUUCCUCCACGUCUUCAACAGGUUUUGAGGGUUGGAACCGGCCCUACCUGUCAAGAGCCAUGUAAACGUCCAGAUGAAGCGAUGCUGUACGAGCGGAGCGGCGGACAAACCACUUCAGUUUCUGGUGAACAGUCAGACAUGCAACUUGGUUUGUUUCAGGCUCCAGUGGAAAGAAUCAUUUCAUAUUUAUACGGUAAAUGUAAUUAUCCUGCAAAUGACACAUUUCAACAGGACGUGCUGUAAAAUUGAAUCUGUGAUG
This is a non-coding RNA of Paralichthys olivaceus (Japanese flounder), 631 nucleotides long. Lineage: Eukaryota; Metazoa; Chordata; Actinopteri; Pleuronectiformes; Paralichthyidae. The record is from RefSeq and is a predicted model, not a curated record.